Molecule: non-coding RNA, 73 nt
Organism: Ixodes scapularis (black-legged tick)
Lineage: Eukaryota; Metazoa; Arthropoda; Arachnida; Ixodida; Ixodidae
Source: Rfam
UCCCGGUUAGGUCAGUUGGUAGAGCGCUCCACUGGAAAUGGAGAGGUCUCUGGUUCGAUUCCAGGACCGGGCG